AUCCAUCUGAUGAGUCCCAAAUAGGACGAAACGUGCGUCUUGGAU
This 45-nucleotide non-coding RNA is filed under the name Schistosoma haematobium. Lineage: Eukaryota; Metazoa; Platyhelminthes; Trematoda; Strigeidida; Schistosomatidae. The record is from RNAcentral.